Molecule: ribosomal RNA, 651 nt
Filed under: uncultured rumen protozoa
Lineage: Eukaryota
Description: bacterial SSU rRNA
Rfam family: Eukaryotic small subunit ribosomal RNA
Source: RNAcentral
GGGGUACGGGAUUAGGGUUCGAUUCUGGAGAAGGAGCCUGAGAACGGCUACUACAUCUACGGAAGGCAGAGGCGCGUAAUUACCCAAUCCUGACUCAGGGAGGUGGUGACAAGAUAUAACAACAACUAUGCAAUCGUGAUUGUAGUGAGGGUAUUCUAAACCGAACCACUAGUACGAUUAGAGGGCAAGUCUGGUGCCAGCAGCCGCGGUAAUUCCAGCUCUAAUAGCGUAUAUUAAAGUUGCUGCAGUUAAAAGCUCGUAGUUGGAUUUCAGGUAGUAAACUCCUCUCGGAGGUAGGCUUCCUACUAGUCUUCGGACUGUUACUGUGAGAAAUUAGAGUGUUUAAAGCAGGCUCAUGCAGAUACAUUAGCAUGAAUAACGAAUGAGUCAUGAACCUGGCAACAAGAGGAGGGGGGAGAGACAGAGGGGGCAUCAGUAUUUAAUUGUCCACGCUGCAACUCCUCGACUGUAAAGACUACGUAUGCGAAGCAUUUGCCACGAUCGUCUCCACUCAUCAGACGAAGAUAGGGAUCAAGACAUCCACCCCUGCCGUAGUCCUAUCUAUAACUAUGCGACUAGGAUUGAUGCAUUUACAUUCAGUACUUAUGAGAAAUCAAGUCUUUGGUCUGGGGGAUAUGUCCAGACUGAACU